AGUCUUGGCCCCACCGGUCACGACCCCGCUCACGGAGUCUGCGCAGGCGCCGUCGCGGGGCGUGGAGAAGCUGCUCCCUUGGGAUAAGGCCCGCGGGGAAUACUUGGAACCUUGACACCGCUGUAGUCUGCUCUCGCCGCGCUGGGUUUUAGGAGCCGUAACGACAAUAAUCGUGUCCACCAUUCUCACUACAGGCCCCGAAGCACGUAGGUGCCGUUUUUUAUCCCAACUUAACUGAAGAAAAAAAAAACACGGCCGGGCGCGGUGGCUCAAGCCUGUAAUCCCAGCACGUUGGGAGGCCAAGGCGGGCAGAUUACAUGAGACCAGGCGUUCAAGACCAGCCUGGCCAACAUGGUGAAACCUCGUCUCUACUAAAAAUACAAAUAUAUUAGCCGGGCGUGGUGGCGGGCGCCUGUAAUCCUAGCUGCUUGGGAGGCUGAGGCAGAGAAUUGCUUGAACCCUGGAGGCGGAGGUUGCAGUGAGUGGAGAUGGCGCCACUGCACUCCCGUCUGGGGGAGAGAGAGAGAGAGACUCUUGUCUCAAAAAAAAAAAAAGGACUUGUCCUCCAAUGUCAAUAACAACAAACUAGACAAAUAAAACUUCGAGGGCAUUAAGGCAAUAUGGUGUUAUGCCACAAA
Molecule: long non-coding RNA, 638 nt
Filed under: Homo sapiens (human)
Lineage: Eukaryota; Metazoa; Chordata; Mammalia; Primates; Hominidae
Description: non-protein coding lnc-SNN-1:3
Source: RNAcentral